GUGCCAGCAGCCGCGGUAAUACGAGGGGGGCAAGCGUUGUUCGGAAUUAUUGGGCGUAAAGGGCGCGUAGGCGGUGCGGUAAGUCACCUGUGAAACCUCUAGGCUCAACCUAGAGCCUGCAGGCGAAACUGCCGUGCUCGAGUGCGGGAGAGGUCAGUGGAAUUGCAGGUGUAGCGGUGAAAUGCGUAGAUAUCUGCAGGAACACCCGUGGCGAAAGCGGCGAGCUGGAUCACUACUGACGCUGAAGAACGAAAGCUAGGGGAGCAAACAGGAUUAGAUACCCUGGUAGUCC
This 292-nucleotide ribosomal RNA is filed under the name uncultured bacterium. Its description in RNAcentral is "partial 16S ribosomal RNA". It matches the Rfam family "Bacterial small subunit ribosomal RNA", at positions 505 to 796 of the family's 1533-position model. The record is from RNAcentral.